CCAGAGUCCUCUCUCCCAGCCCUUAUGGACUUAAUAGAUGAGUAUGGCAGAAUCUCAUACUACAAACUUAACAAAUCCAAAACGCAGGCGCUACCAAUCAACCUGCCCCACACACUGUUACAAACUCUAAAACAACAACACGACCUAGACUGGAGGUCCGACCACAUCUCAUAUCUAGGGAUAGCAUUAACAAAAAACCCUACCAAU
Molecule: non-coding RNA, 207 nt
Organism: Pelobates cultripes (western spadefoot toad)
Lineage: Eukaryota; Metazoa; Chordata; Amphibia; Anura; Pelobatidae
Source: the annotation of a GenBank genome assembly